GUACGUGGCGUUGUUACUAGAUCAAUGCAGAACUGAAUCUGCCUUUGGGACCAGAUCUGACUUAGAACAGAUCAAUAUCCCGCAUGUUCUGUUUUCCAACCUAUAUACCGCAAACAGGGCUCACAAAUAAUACUAGAUCUGGAUCCCAGAACUAGUAUUCUGAUUAAAUAGAGGGAGAAGAGAAAGUACAACUAAGGACAAAGAUCCGGUCUCUUUGCCUUAGAGGAAUCGUAUCAGGUUUUAUGGCAGGAUUUUGAUAUAGAAGAUCAGCCUGCGAUGCAUGCUCUUGAAAAUUAAAAGACAAUUUAAAUGUAAACUUUAAAUUUAAUUACAAGAAAUAGAUUACAUAGAGAUCUUACAAGUUUGCUUGGAUCCCGAGAGCCUUGUAGAAAGAAAGAAGGAAAAUAAAGAAAGAAAAUGUUUACAAUAUUGCUUUACAAUUGGAGAAAAUGGAAAAGAUUACAAGACAGGAAAAUUUCCUUAAGGUCUUGUUUGAUUUAUCGUAGAGAGAAUCCUUGCUCUUCCCCCUAAAAAAAAAAGACUCUGCCUUUCUUACGAGAGAGAGGAGAAUAAAUAAGCUGGAAGACUCGAGGCAAGAUCCACGAAUCUCGGGGGUCUUCAUGGGGCUUUU
RNAcentral lists this long non-coding RNA (631 nucleotides) under Citrus sinensis (sweet orange). Its description in RNAcentral is "long non-coding RNA (CSIN_LNC005489)". Lineage: Eukaryota; Viridiplantae; Streptophyta; Magnoliopsida; Sapindales; Rutaceae. The record is from RNAcentral.